AGAGUUUGAUCCUGGCUCAGAACGAACGCUGGCGGCGUGGAUAAGACGUGCAAGUCGAGCGCUGAUCACAGGGUAGCAAUAUUCUGUGGUCGGAGCGGCGCAAGGGUGCGUAACACGUGGGUAAUCUGCCAUGAAGUUUGGGAUAACUUGCUGAAAGGCGAGCUAAUACCGGAUGUGACAAUUAGGAGGCAUCUUCCGAUUGUCAAAGCUGGGGACCGUAAGGCCUGGCGCUUCAUGAUGAGCCCGCGGCCUAUCAGCUAGUUGGUAAGGUAACGGCUUACCAAGGCUAAGACGGGUAGCUGGUCUGAGAGGACGACCAGCCACACUGGAACUGAGACACGGUCCAGACACCUACGGGUGGCAGCAGUCGAGAAUUUUUCACAAUGGGCGCAAGCCUGAUGGAGCGACGCCGCGUGGGGGAUGAAUGGCUUCGGCCCGUAAACCCCUGUCAUUUGCGAACAAGUUGGUUCACUUAAUACCUGAACCAUUGAUAGUAGCGAAAGAGGAAGGGACGGCUAACUCUGUGCCAGCAGCCGCGGUAAUACAGAGGUCCCAAGCGUUGUUCGGAUUCACUGGGCGUAAAGGGUGCGUAGGUGGUGAGGUAAGUCGGAUGUGAAAGCUCGGAGCUCAACUCCGAAAUGGCAUUGGAAACUACCUUGCUCGAGGGUUGGAGGGGGGACUGGAAUGCUUGGUGUAGCAGUGAAAUGCGUAGAUAUCAAGCGGAACACCAGUGGCGAAGGCGAGUCCCUGGACAACUCCUGACACUGAGGCACGAAAGCUAGGGGAGCAAACAGGAUUAGAUACCCUAGUAGUCC
This 815-nucleotide ribosomal RNA is filed under the name uncultured bacterium. RNAcentral describes it as "bacterial SSU rRNA". It matches the Rfam family "Bacterial small subunit ribosomal RNA", at positions 8 to 796 of the family's 1533-position model. The record is from RNAcentral.